UCAUGUGCAAGUUUAUUCCCAAACUUUUCUUCCCUGUCGAUAACCUUUGUGCCUCCAUCUCUCUCAAUUACCCCAUCUUCUUUACCCUCUCCUUUCCCUCCCACAUCAGUCACCACAUACCAUCUCCGAUCAAGCCGCCACCGCCGACCAACCUAUAAUCUUGCAAUCCCUGCAAGCUUAUAACCCCUAAAUUUUUUAAGUUGCUUUCAUAGACACCAUCCACCAUAUAAGUUAAGGCGCCAUCCACCUCCCAUCGAUCAACCAUCGCCGCCCAAUCACACGUCUGCCUAAGGUGACUCAUUUUACUCCAGGAUUAAAUUAAUUUCUUUCUUGAUUUAUAUUCCUGAUUUGUACAUAUUUUUUUAGCCUUUUUAGGUUUACUUUCCAUAUAGCUAGUCAUUAGAUUUCUCAAUUUAUUAUUAUAUGUAGAUAAAUCAUUCUCCUUAAAGUUGUGUUCAAAAUAAAUUUUCUCUAAUUUCUAAGUAUUAAGCAAAGAAAGUUCAAAAUUUCAAUGUUAUACUGUGCAGCAUGAACUAUAACUCCACUUCAAACAUUCACGGUAAGUUAAAAGGCCAUACCAUAUUUCUGAAUUGUUUUGAUUAAUAAGGGUAUGACUCUUGGCUUGAUAUCAUCUGGCUUCAACACAACCUUUUGGAUAGUAGUAUAAUGUGAAAUGAGACACAUUAAAAUUGGAUAGUAGUAUAAUGUGAAAUGAGAAACGUUAAAAUUGGAUUUUGGGUAAAAAUAAGAGUUUGGGAAGAUAGAAUAGAAACCAAGAUGAUUGUUUUAGGGUGAAGAAAGCACGGGCGGACCCAAGGGGGUCCUGGGGGGUCACUUGAACCCCCCCCCCCCCCCCCAAAAAAAAAACAAAUCUUUUGUGAUUUUCCCUUUUUUUUUUUUGUGAUAAAAUCUUGUUUGGUAUUGAUCGGAAUCUAAAUUUUAAUCUAAAUUAAAGUCAGCAAUUAAUUUUAAUAACAUAUUUUAAUGGAUUCCUUAACUUUUUAAGUUUUAUUGAAAUUUAUUGAAAAUCGGACUUUAAUCUUCACCAAACAAGGACAAGAUCACAAUAAAUUUGAAUUUUUCUCUCUUUUUUAUUGUUCUAUCUUAUUCUCUCCAUCAUGCCUUUUAUUAAAACCUUAAUCCUUCUAAUUUUUUAAAAUUUAUUUUUAAUUUCUCAAGAAUUAUCACUACUACAAAUUUUCACUUUUCAAUCAAAUUUUCAACUAAUUGGAACCUAAAUUUGCAUUUUCUCCCAUCCUAUUUCUGUAUAUAACACGUGUCUAAACUGAUUAUAUAAAAUUUAACUUAUAUCUAACGAAUUGUGUUUAUUUGACUGAAUAUUAGUAUUGGAUAUUGAUUAUAUGUUUUUCCUUUCGAUUACUUGAAUUGAUUAUUUGUAUCAAAUAUACAAUUUUUUAAAAUAUAAAUAUGCAUUUUCUUGUGAUGAGCAAAAUUGAUGAAAAAUAUUUUUUAAAUGUAAAUCUGCAUUUUUUUUGGGUCAAAUAUGAAUCAUUCAAAAAUCAAGAACAAAAUAUUCGAUUUGUACAAAAUUUGAUUGUGCCCUUCUAGCUCAAAUUUUCUGUGUCCGUCCCUGGAAGAGAGUACACGGAUUGAUCACCAUCUCAUAUUCUACUAAAGCUCAGUUUGCUUGUAUCUCCAUAAUUUCAUUUCGGGUGAAAUUAUUUCGCCUAAUGCCUCUUUGCUGAAUUUUGAAUCAAUUAGGCAAAAAUUGUGCAUCAUUAAAGAUAGAAUCAAUUAGGCAACAAUUGUACAUCAUUGAAGCAACAAACCCUUUGUGUUGCAGAAUAAAUUUAUCUACAAGCACAACUUGAAACCGAAAACUAACAAUAUCAAAAUGUCAGAAAUAACGUUAGGAACAAACUGCCUAGAGACCCUAUCGCCUAAAAAUGCUGCACGCGCCCUCACGUGCCGGAGAGACUCUCUGUGCCCGGUUACCAUGCGUUGCCGUCAGUGACACGCACUGACCACCAGGACUACCUCCACCUACACGUCACACCACUGGUCUCCGUUUCUGCCAAACUCUUUCUAGAUUGGUCGAAAAUCACGAAAAUAGAGGUUGAUUUUAAGCAAUUUUUUAGACAAUUUUUCGAUCUGGUUUUUACUUCAUUUCUGCGGAUUUUUUGGACAUUUUCUAGUAGGUUUCUGUGGCACUGGCAGAGGAGAGCAGUGCAAUAUUACAAAAUAAACUACCUCCCAAACUCAAGGAUCCCGAGGUUUCACUUUACCCAUUUCAAUUGGAGAAACUGGUUUUUUCAAUACUUUAUGUGAUACAGGCACAAGUAUUAAUUUAAUGCCUUUAUAUGUCUUCAAGAAAUUGGGAUUAUGGAAAGCAAAAGAAACAACAAUGUUAUUGCAACUGGCUGAUAAAAACAUCAAAUAUCCAAGAGGUAACAUUGAGGCUAUACUCAUCAAGGCUGGCAAAUUUAUAUUUCCAACAAACUUUAUUGUUCUAUACAUAGAAGAAGAUAGAGAUAUUCUAAUAAUCUUAGAACGUCUAUUCUUAACAACAGGUCAAAUUUUGAUUGAUAUGGAGAAAUGUGAACUAAUAUUGAGAGUUUAUAAGGAACAAUAAGUUUUUAAAAUACACAAUGCAUCCAAACAACCAUCAAACCUCGAUGAAUAUAAGUAUAUUCAUGAAGAUGAACUAUCCAUUCAACAAAACUGUCAAAAUAGAAAACCAAAUUUUGGAGGAAUUAUUGGCAAGGACAAUAACGGAGAAUUCAUAGUUUAGAGAGAUAAAAGGGGAUGCAAGGCUAGAAAUUGCAAGGAGUACAAGGCAAAACAUUUUAAUUUAAACCACCUUAAGGAAAUCACCCCAAAAGUUGAGCUCUAAGCUAUAAAACGAGUGCUUAAUGGGAAGCAACCCAUUUUCUAUCACUUUUCACUUAUUUUGAUUAAUUAUUGCAUUACAAGUAGUUUUAGGGAUUGCAUAAACUUAAGAACUCGAGCAUUUAAAUGAUUUGCUUCGAACACAUUUUAGGUAGUACUUUAAGACUAGCAUUAGUAAUUUAGGCAUGUUUACUUAUUGGGUUUAUUUUUACUUAAACUCAUCGUUAACAUCCUAGCAUUAUAUUAAGCUUACCUUGAUGUGAUAUGAAUUAUUAAGGUUUGCACUUAGACUUCAAUAUCCUACCUAUUUUGAAAGACUUAUAUUUUCCUAGCAAUAGGAUUUUUGUAGGGACGACACUUUGUCCAAACAUUAGAUGAUUAGAAAUUUUUUGGUGUGAAUUCAUUACAAAUAUUUAAACCUUAUUCACUAUCACUAAUAUUUAUUUUGAAUGCUUGAAAGAGAAAAUUAAAGCCUAGCAAUAAAGAAAAGUGGCAGUUGAAAUGACUUCUCCUAGCUGAGCCAACUUGAUCAUUCUACCUAUCAGCAUCUAUCCUGACGAGUUACUGAUCCUUACUAU
RNAcentral lists this long non-coding RNA (3428 nucleotides) under Olea europaea (common olive). RNAcentral's name for it is "long non-coding RNA (OEUR_LNC015108)". The record is from RNAcentral. Lineage: Eukaryota; Viridiplantae; Streptophyta; Magnoliopsida; Lamiales; Oleaceae.